GCACCACUUCCUGUCAAAUGUUCUCUUUCCCACCUCAAAACCUGCUUGUGGUCUCAAGGUCACCUCGGUGUGUUGUUGUAAAAAUAUAAAGAUAAAAAAAAUAGUUGUCUUUUAUCCCGAUAGGUCCUGCAUCGCGGUGCCCCAAGAUAAUUGCCCACUUAAACAUGCAAAGCCCGGCACCAUCCAUCCCUUAGGAACAUUGAUAACAACCUGUAAAUACACAGAGCGAGAGCUUUAUAUCAGCCUUCAUCAUCCUGCCAUGGCUUCCCUCUCUCUCCCCCUCCUGUCUCUCCCUCUCUCUGCUCCAGUCCCCUCCUCUUCCUUCACACUUUUCUCCCGCCCAUCCUUCCUUCUCAUCCAAUGACAGGCCUCCUUCUAUCUUGUGCCUGCCUCACCUGUGACAUCAUCCUACAUCGGUGACCACAUUUUCUAAAGGGAAUGGCUUGUGCAUCUGAUUCCCCUUCCAGGACCGACCUAUGCUGCUCUUUCCUCUGUUUCAAAGAGAGACCAGAGAUCAGUCAGCUGAGGCUGCAGCCUGGUCACUGUCCUAGCACAGGACCUACCAGCCCUGCCGAAUGCAGAUUCCCAGCCUUCAGACUAGAGAUGUGCAUGCCAUGAAGCCACCAAACCUGUGCACUUCGUCACGGCAGCCGGAAGUCCUGAGCCAGCUGUGCUGCAGCUGCUGGAGGGAGAACCACCGCACACCUCCUAGCACUUACAUGCUGCUCUCAGGUUAGGGGAUCCACCAUUGAGAAGACAACGUUCAUUCGGGACAAGUAUGCCACUAUGUCAUUUUUUUAAAAUUCUCUAAGCAAUCAGCCACAGCCCUUCGACACGGCCCAGACCAGAUAAGUAGAAUUCCUUGGGUUUAGUCUGAGUAGAGGGAACGUUCCUACCAGAACUGUGGAACUAGAAGGCUGUGUUCAUGAGACAUUCAUGGCUACCUCCCUCUCUCCUCAUGACCGCCACAUCUAACAGGGAAGGAAAGCCCAUCUGAAGUGAGAGCAGAGACAGGUACUGAGAAAUGACUCUGGAGAGACAUAGGGAGUCCCACCUCAACUCUGUAAGUCCCCAUGAUGGUCAGCUUUUGUUCUAUGAGCCCUUUGGUGUUUAAUUUGCACGAUUUAUGCCCCUGGCACCUAACUGGGAUUAUACAAACAUAUAUGCCAUUGGCAAAUCAAUUACCCAAACUAUUUAUUCCUUACUUAGAACCCUUCUCGGUCCACACUUGAUUUUCAAAUCUAAUCUCUUCUGUACAUUAUAAAUGGCAUUUAUUUACCAUCCCCUGAACACACUUGUACUUUCUUUCUUACACCCAGACUGAAGCAAAACAGUUCCUAUCUGUGAAGGUUUGCAUACGACGCUCGGCCCAAGGAGUGGCACUAUUAGGUGUGACUCUGUUGGAGUAGGUGUGGCCUUGUUGGAGUAGGUGUAUCACUUUGGGUGUGGGCUCUAAGCCCUCCUGCUAGCUGCCUGGAGGCCAGGAUUCUCCUAGCAGCCUUUUGAUGAAGAUGUAGAACUCUCAGCUCCUCCUGCACCAUGCCUGCCUGGAUGCUGCCAUGUUCCUGCCUUGAUGAUAAUGGACUGAACCUCUGAACCUGUAUGUCAGCCUCAAUUAAAUGUUGUCCUGAGGA
This is a non-coding RNA of Rattus norvegicus (Norway rat), 1634 nucleotides long. Lineage: Eukaryota; Metazoa; Chordata; Mammalia; Rodentia; Muridae. The record is from RefSeq and is a predicted model, not a curated record.